GGCCGAGGGAAAUCUGGAAGAGUCAGAAGAUCUGUCAGCGACCUCGGGGGACCUGAAGUAUUGUGUCCCCACCCCAGCCAUCUGCCAAGUCCGAUGGACGAUAAGAUGGGACAAGUCUCAGGCAGCUGGUGUCUUGGAGUCGGAAAACUAUUUCUGAAGUCUGCUCUGCCAUUUACUAGCCUUGUGACCUGGGGAACUCAAGCAGCACCGGGGAGCUGUACUUUGGAAAGUGUACAGGGAUAAGUCCUGGAGGCCUCUGCCUUCUCUCCAUACCUGCCACGCGCACAUGGAUGUCAUAGUGUGCUUCUCCAAACUCAUUCUGAAGCAAGAUUCGGUACACCCCUGAGUCAGAGCGCUUGGUGCUAUUAAUGAGGAACUGGGAGUGGUUUUUGCUCUUGGUAAUUGUUUCUCGGCCCUUGGUGGGAACGCCAUCUUUCUGCCAGAUCACGUCAGGUGGUGGUGAGCCCUGAGUAGUGACAGGAGAUGGCACAAUUGGUCACGCAGAUGAUAUUUGGGGGCAGGCCUUCCUCCGUUGUCGAGGAGUUUCCUGCCAGGCUGUCGCUCUAGGGGUCUGGUGAGGGGCAGAGUCACAGUCAGAGUCAGAGACUGUGAUGGCUACAAUAGCCAUCUUGGUUAUGUGGAGAGCGUAUGGGGGUCAGGGUCAGGGCCAACUCACGGAGAAGGCUGCAUGGAUGCAGAGGGCUGUCCCAGCGCGAACCACCAUGUGACUCUUCAGCCGGGCACUGAGGUCAAACUUGGGUGCAGCUGAGAUGGAGGAGACAGAGGUGGAGGCAUGGAUCUCUCUUUCAAGAAGACUCGGCUUAAAGCCUCCUCAUGAGAGCCUUCCCAACCUCUCCUCUUUUAUGCCCCCACUACAGGCCAUACAGACAUCUAGCUGCCCUGCAACACUGUGAAGCAUUUAUUUGUUUUCUCAUCUGUCUCGUUCUACUAGUAUGCAAGACGCUGGAAGGCAAGUCCUGUGUCUUGUUUCUAUAUCCCUAACACCUUCUUUUGAAAUUGCCAUUGCAACAAUUAUAACAGCGAGAAAAUUAUGACAGUGAACGAGAUCUGAUCUAACCAACCCGCAUCUUGCCUUUAACCUCCAAACUGCCCUUAAUCAUUCCUGGUUUCAGACCAAGCUAAUGUUGGGAGAGACAGUUUAUAGUUUAGAUGAUAAGAGUCCUUCCCCCAAACUAGAUCACCUUUGCGAAGCUAAUGAAAGGCCACCAGGUUAGGAGGAUGUGAGGAGCCUGAAUUCUGCUAAGGUGUAGACAUAAAAGAUUAUCAGUCAUUAUUCCAGAGGUCACAAGAUUUGCAACUCCCCAGCUGCUCCUGCAAAUAACAUCACUAUUGUAGAACCUAAGAUUGGUCGUUGAGAUGUCUUUUCAGGUUUUUGCAUUUCUGAUGACUGAUGGCUCCACCUGGACCUGCUGACCCUCCACCCCACAAGUCCUGUGGCCCCACUCAGAAGCAGGCUUCCUGGGCUCUGAAUUUUCGGGGAGUUGAUUUGGGUAAUAACUCCGUCUCCCAUACAGCAUGGCUGGCCUUGUGUCCAUUAAACUCUUUGUUGCAA
This is a long non-coding RNA of Symphalangus syndactylus (siamang), 1573 nucleotides long. RefSeq lists it as uncharacterized. The record is from RefSeq and is a predicted model, not a curated record. NCBI's taxonomy places the organism in Eukaryota, Metazoa, Chordata, Mammalia, Primates, Hylobatidae.